CGGCAUCUACUUGGUUUUGCGAUGAAGGUAAAAUAUGAUAGAUUUGGAGACAAGUUCUUUGCAAUUCAAGAGUUUAUUAUGUGGGAAGGAAAACUAAAAGAGGGGAUUAUAAUGGAGAUUGUACCACCAAAAUCAUCUAAAACAGAGGUCCGAAGGUUAAAAGAUGGCGAAACUAUUGGCAAGAGUACACAUUUUGAGUUUUUUUAAUUUUCUUGCGUAUACGAGUUUUCAUGAAGAAUUGAAUUGUUGGCUCAAAUUUGAGGAAAAAAAAUGUCCAGCUUUUUUAGCUUAAAAAGAUGGUGUUUGCUUUAAAAAAAAAAAUCGUGACUAAUGAGAAUGCGUUAAUGAGUGAUGCUAAUCUCAACCACCAUGUAUUUAUCGGGUAGUUAACGAACUUACAUUGUGAUUCUAUAGAAAGGUCGUGGCUGUAGCAAUAGUUAACCAUCGCAUCACUCGCUGGAUAAUUAGUUCGUAGAUAGACGUAUGGGGGUUGCUGGUUUUAAUGGUCAAGAUACUCAAUUUUUCCCAGUGGUGUAAAGGAUGCAAGUGGAAUCAUUUACACAGCAACUGUUGUCUCUGUUACAAUCUCCCAAUGUGGAGGUGUAUUUGAUACAUUCACAUAAGGGAUGAGCUUGGCACCAACCGGUACGGACCGGUAUUUGAAGUAUGCGAGAUGUUUCUCUUCAAAGCUCUAGGAAGAAACUAGAAUUGACGGGUGCUGGGGUUUUCUUGCGACGUCAGCCCGAAGCUCCAAUUGAGCCGGUUGAGAAAUGAGGAUUUUAACUAAAUAAAGUUAAUCAUGAUGAUGUGGCAUUGUGAAAUGAUGUUGAGUUGGAUCAACUUGCUAAUGGAGAAUUGGACUCGAAAGGGCGUUAGACUUUUAUCCGACUUGCAAUUAUCAGCCAUUGACACCAUCUAAUACUAUGGAGAAUGAUCCACAUGGAUAUGUUGUUGGUCUGUUGUUCUUAAAACAGAUGAAGGUGACCUUUGGACUGUUGUUGUGAGAUAGACGUCGUCCAGAUACCAAAUGUCUAAUGGUUGGCGUACUUUUGAAUUUCUUCGUCGUUCAAAAAAGUGGGUCAAUGCAAUGGUUUAGUGAGUUGGGUUGUUGAAAACAAGGGAAUGAGGAGUAUGUAUGUUGCAUGAAUGGAAAAGUGUGAAGAAUCAAUGUUUACAGCAUGGGUACAACUUAUGGAUCAUAAGAUUUGCUUCUUUCAGUAAUUCUUUAUUUGGCACCAUGGGUUCAUUUAUGAUUUAUUAACUAUUCGACUUCAGUCUUCUAUGGUUACCCCUUCAAGAGUGGUUCAGUAUGAUGAUGACGGUGAAAGAUGGAAACAAAUUGAUUUUGAUAAGCAAGGAGCGUAUUUAUUUAAAUAGGUGAAGAUAAAGAAGUGAGCGCAGAAUGCAUUGUGCUCAUGGGUGAGGGCGUACAGCGUGCAUCGCGGGGAGUUGAAGAGUAUAUUCAUUGUGAAAAAGCUUCAUUUGAGACACGUGGCGAAAAGUUUUGCACUGAAGGAGCAGCCGUCCGUCACUGGUGGGGAGAUCGGUUCAGAAGAAGCACACAGAAAAGAGGAAAAGGACACACAAAGUAAAAGAAGGUUUGAAAAAGAAGAGAAAGAUGGCAAACCUGGAGGAGGGAGAUUGAGUUGGCAAAUGAAUGGUGAAAGAUGAUUGAUGGUGAAGGUGCAAAUUGCAAGCAAGCAAGCAGCCGGCUGGCUGGAAGGAGAAUAGAAUGAAUGUUUUGACAACCACCAAAACAAGUAAUUAUAUUACAUUACUGAGAGUGAGAUGAUGGAUAAUGUUAUUUGAGUUUCAAUUGAUAAUUAGGUUCCUGUUAAUACUUUGCGUUUCUUAAAUUGGUGUAAUGUUUGGUUUUUAUGCAAUUGAAUUUGGUGAUUUCAAA
Molecule: long non-coding RNA, 1903 nt
Organism: Helianthus annuus (common sunflower)
Lineage: Eukaryota; Viridiplantae; Streptophyta; Magnoliopsida; Asterales; Asteraceae
Exons: 13
Source: RefSeq, a predicted model, not a curated record